Molecule: long non-coding RNA, 349 nt
Organism: Sinocyclocheilus grahami
Lineage: Eukaryota; Metazoa; Chordata; Actinopteri; Cypriniformes; Cyprinidae
Exons: 4
Source: RefSeq, a predicted model, not a curated record
AGAUUGUGAAACCAGAACAGAUGAUUGUUGUUGUAACACUGUCCCAUUUCAUGCUUGCAGUUACUGUAAAGAAAACAACCUGUAACAUGAGUCUGUGUGAAACAUUCUGAAGAGAGAUUGUGAAACCAGAACAGAUGAUUGUUGUUGUAACACUGUCCCAUUUCAUGCUUGCAGUAAACACCCAAGAAAAGGCAUUACUGGUGUUUGUCCUUAUUCGAGGUUGAUCCUUUGGUGCAUCCAGUGUUCCGCUACAUCAUGCGUUCAUGACCUCAAGGUUAGAUUAUUGUUAGGGAUGCACCGAUACCACUUUUUCCAGUAGUCGCCCGAUACCGAUAGUUUUAUUUCUGGU